Molecule: ribosomal RNA, 718 nt
Filed under: uncultured low G+C Gram-positive bacterium
Lineage: Bacteria; Bacillati; Bacillota
Description: bacterial SSU rRNA
Rfam family: Bacterial small subunit ribosomal RNA
Source: RNAcentral
GCCCUUAGAGUUUGAUCCUGGCUCAGGACGAACGCUGGCGGCGUGCUUAACACAUGCAAGUUGAACGUUCCGCCCUUUUUGGCCUUCGGGCCAUAAAGGACCACGGAAAGUGGCGGACGGGUGAGUAACGCGUGGAGAACCUAUCCUCAAGUUGAGGAUAACCUGGCGAAAGUCGGGCUAAUCCUGAAUAAGCUGACAGAUGAGCAUUCAUCAGUCAGAAAAGGUGCUUUUUAGCAUCGCUUAAGGAGGGCUCCGCGUCGGAUUAGCUAGCUGGUAGGGUAAAAGCCUACCAGGGCAACAAUCCGUAGCUGGUCUGAGAAGACGAUCAGUCACACCGGAACUGAGACACGGUCCGGACUCCUACGGGAGGCAGCAGUGGGGAAUCUUCCACAAUGGGCGCAAGCCUGAUGGAGCAACGUCGCGUGAGUGAAGAAGGCCUUCGGGUUGUAAAGCUCUGUCACCGGGGAAGAACCACCGGCAGGAGAAAUACUGCCGGUCUGACGGUACCCGGUGAGGAAGCCCCGGCUAACUACGUGCCAGCAGCCGCGGUAAUACGUAGAGGGCAAGCGUUGUCCGGAAUCAUUGGGCGUAAAGGGUACGCAGGCGGAUAGGCAAGUCAAAUGUGAAAGGUGCCGGCUCAACCGGCAGAUUGCGUUUGAAACUGUCUAUCUUGAGUACAGCAGAGGAGAGCGGAAUUCCUGGUGUAGUGGUGAAAUAC